Molecule: long non-coding RNA, 1284 nt
Filed under: Taeniopygia guttata (zebra finch)
Lineage: Eukaryota; Metazoa; Chordata; Aves; Passeriformes; Estrildidae
Description: lncRNA (ENSTGUG00000025778.1)
Source: RNAcentral
AUGCCCCUCCCCCACCCCAAAUUCAGUGCCCCUCCCCCCACUGCCCUUCCCCCACCCCGAAAAUCUGACACAGUGCCCCUCCCCCACCCCAAAAUUGCACACAAUGCCCCUCCCCCACCCCAAAAAUCAGUGCCCCUCCCCCCACUGCCCAUCCCCCACCCCAAAAUCAGACAGUGCCCCUCCCCCACUUCCCCUCCUCCACCCCAAAAUUGGACACAAUGCCCCUCCCCCACCCUGAGAUUAGGAGACCCCUCCCCCACUGCCCCUCCCCCACCCCAAAAUCAGAGCAGACCCCUCCCCCACCCCAAAUUUAGAUAUAAUGCCCACCCCCACCCCAAAAAUCAGUGCCCCUCCCCCACUGCCCAUCCCCCAUGCCACAAUUUCUCGCCCCUCCCCCCCCUCUGCCCCUCCCCCACCUGGGCCACGCCGAAGCCGUGCGGGUGCAGCGCGAACACGGCCGGGGGGGGCGGUGGGGGAGGGGCGGCGGCCGCCGCGGGUGGGGGAGGGGCGGGGGGGGCGGCGGCGGUGGGGGGAGGGGCAGGGGGAGGGGGGGAGGGGGCUGCGGGGGGGGUGGGGGAGGGGCGGCGGUGGGGCCGAAGCCGCUUUGGGGGGAGGGGGCGCCAGAAGGGGGCGGGGGAGGGGCGGAGGGGGGUGGGGGAGGGGCGGAGGAGGGGGGUGGGGGAGGGGCGGCCCCCAAGAACAGCCCCGGGGCGGGUGGGGGAGGGGCGGCGGCGGCUCCUUGGUGCUGGAAUGGAAAGGGGGGGAGGGGUGAGUGAUGGGUGGGGGAGGGGCAGCCCCUCCCCCCGCCCCUCCCCCCACCCAAAUUUGGGGCCUUACCUGCGCAGGUGCGGCGGGGGCGGGGGUGGAGCCCCCCCCGGGGGUGGGGGAGGGGUGCAGCGGCCCCGGGGGGGGGAAGGGCGGGUGCACCGCGGCUGUGGGGGAGGGGCGCGGUCAGACAGAGUGGGGGAGGGGUGGGGGAGGGGGAUUCACUCCCCUCCCCCUCCCCAAAAUGGGGGUGGGUGGGGGAGGGGCGUCUCUCACCGUAGAGCGGCUGCGGGGGCGGGUCCGGCGGGGGAGGGGCGAAGGGGGGAGGGGCGGCCCCGCCCACCAGGGUGGGGGAGGGGUGGAGCCGGGGGCUGCCCGGGAGCAUCGGGGCGAAGACGGGCUGGGGGGAGGGGCGGAGAGGGGGGGAGGGGCGGUCAGAGACCCUCCCCCACCCCGAGGGGUCCUCUGCCCCUCCCCCACCUCGAGGGGUCCUCAGCCCCUCCCCCACCCAUGUUCUAA